GACGAACGCUGGCGGCGUGCUUAACACAUGCCAGUCGAACGGAAAGGCCCUGCUUUUGUGGGGUGCUCGAGUGGCGAACGGGUGAGUAACACGUGAGUAACCUGCCCUUGACUUUGGGAUAACUUCAGGAAACUGGGGCUAAUACCGGAUAGGAGCUCCUGCUGCAUGGUGGGGGUUGGAAAGUUUCGGCGGUUGGGGAUGGACUCGCGGCUUAUCAGCUUGUUGGUGGGGUAGUGGCUUACCAAGGCUUUGACGGGUAGCCGGCCUGAGAGGGUGACCGGCCACAAUGGGACUGAGAUACGGCCCAGACGCCUACGGGAGGCAGCAGUGGGGAAUAUGGCACAAUGGGCGGAAGCCUGAGGCAGCAACGCCGCGUGCGGGAUGACGGCCUUCGGGUUGUAAACCGCUUUCGCCUGUGACGAAGCGUGAGUGACGGUAAUGGGUAAAGAAGCACCGGCUAACUACGUG
RNAcentral lists this ribosomal RNA (468 nucleotides) under uncultured bacterium. RNAcentral's name for it is "partial 16S ribosomal RNA". It matches the Rfam family "Bacterial small subunit ribosomal RNA", at positions 28 to 507 of the family's 1533-position model. The record is from RNAcentral.